Physcomitrium patens is the source of this 1391-nucleotide non-coding RNA. The record is from RefSeq and is a predicted model, not a curated record. NCBI's taxonomy places the organism in Eukaryota, Viridiplantae, Streptophyta, Bryopsida, Funariales, Funariaceae.
AGUGCACAUCAUACAUUUGUGUUGUACAUGAUUCUCCUGCUGCUGUGACUCUUUUAUGUGGUAGAAGCAGUGCUUGUAAGAAGCUGAUGCUGGCAUCAGUUGUUAAUAUUGCUGCUGCUGAUGUUGCUGUUGAUGUUGUUGUUAUUGUGGAAGAGGAGGAGGGGGAGGAGGGGAGUUGGGUGUUCGAGGAGUUUGAUGGCUGGUUCUUCGACUUGGAACAACACUCAACAGUUGGGUGUAUGAAGGAAUGUCAAUGCUGGAGUAUAAACUGACGCGUGAAUAAGGAGAGGGAAUCGAAGCUGGUGAAGAAGCUGUGUUGGACGGAGAUCGAUAUCUUCCGGUGCUCCUUCUCGGGGCUGCUGCCGUCGCCUCAACACCGUUCGAGGCAGACUCCUCCGCUCUACUGCCAUCACCGCGUUGUUGCGGAUUGCUCGCUCCCGACGUAAUGUGCUGGUGGGGUGCAGCUGACGACGGCAUGGAAGCAUACACAUGAGGAGCGAAUUCAGCUUGGUCUGUAUAAGAAACGGAAUGACUGGGAUCACCCGUGUUUGAGGCCCAUGGCGAUCUCUUCAUGGAGCCGAAGACGGGAGGAGGGCGCGCAGCGGGAUCCCCCACCAACAGAUCAACACAGUCGCCACCGUUCGAAUUUUCUCGGACAGGAGAUUCAUGCUUUAACACCUGGACUGCCGACGAGGAGGCCAUGCUGUUUGCAACGACAGUAGGGAUGGGUGUGAGCAUUGGCAGGAUCUGAUGGACGAGGCCGAGCCGGAGGAAUUCUGUUGGUUUGCAAAAUAGGAGGAACAACUUUCAAUUUGGGAAUGUUUUGAUUGACAUGAGACCGAUGAAGAUUUUCAGUAUCAGGAGCAUAAGGUAAUGGAGAAGGCAUCUUAAGCUCCGAGUCAUUGUUCAGUUGCGAUCUGUGAUUGGAGUCAUUCUGUUCCUCUUGAUCAUCUAAAAACAUAUCCAAAUCAUACAUAUCAAUCUUUGUGGAUGCAAGCCGUGUGAGUUUAGACAUAGCUGGAUUUGCCCUCAGGACUUUCUUCUUUGGUUUCUUAGAGGUAGUUUUUGAUUGAGGUUUUUUCUUGAGGUCUUUCGGAGGUUUUAUUUGAAUAGGUAUCACUUGUUGUCGUGUUGGUGCUAAAGACAAUCGCUUUGCCAAACUUUUCCAAAAAGAAACCAAUUUUUCUUCUUCAGCAAUGCCUAGGGCUUCAACUAUCUCACAUGGUUUUGCGAACUGGUUUGGAGCAGAUAGCUUCACAUCUUUUUGCUCAUUUUCUUCAAUGUCAAUAGCUUUAUUGAAUUAAUGAAAAAUAUGAAUGUGAAACUUUUAUGUACUUCAAUGAUGUUCAACAAUAAAAAUAUGGACACAACUUAAUCUUUCUUUAUUGAAA